UGAUAGCGUUGAAGCGUGAGGUUGCUGCCGGGCCGAAAGGCACUGCAGGUUUUCCGUGGAGCGAAUGUCAAGAGGCCAUGCAAAUGGCCAAAGAACCUGACGGCAA
Molecule: regulatory RNA element, 106 nt
Organism: Firmicutes bacterium CAG:95
Lineage: Bacteria; Bacillati; Bacillota
Rfam family: S10-Clostridia ribosomal protein leader
Source: Rfam